AAGGGUAAAAUCAAGAUACUGUUAAUGUAAAUGGAAUUUGUGCUGAAGCUAAAAAAAUCCAGUUAAAAACUAGGAUUAGAUACCCUACUAUUCUGGAUUAAAAAUAUAUUGCUAAGUUAGUAUUAGUUAGAUACUUAAAAAUUAAAAAAUUUGGCGGUGGUUUAAUCUCACCAGAGGAACUUGUUUCUUGAUCGAUAUACCACGAAAAAUCUUACUUAAGUUUGUAUACCAUCAUUAGCAGGCAAUUUUAAUAAAAUCAAUUGCUAAUUAUUAAGUUAAUUAUUAAAAUUAGAUCAUGGUGCAGCAUAUAGGUAAGUUGAAAUGAGUUACAAUAAUUUUUAUUAUAUGGAUCAGUAACUGUAAAGGAGGAUUUGGUUGUAUUUAAGUUUAAUAAGCUUACAGGACAUUAGUUCUAAACCAUGUACAUAUCGCCCGUCGCUUUC
Molecule: ribosomal RNA, 443 nt
Filed under: Grapsus albolineatus
Lineage: Eukaryota; Metazoa; Arthropoda; Malacostraca; Decapoda; Grapsidae
Description: partial 12S small subunit ribosomal RNA
Source: RNAcentral